GUGGGGAAUAUUGGGCAAUGGGCGAAAGCCUGACCCAGCAACGCCGCGUGAAGGAAGAAGGUCUUCGGAUUGUAAACUUCUUUGAUCAGGGACGAAAGAAAUGACGGUACCUGAAGAACAAGCCACGGCUAACUACGUGCCAGCAGCCGCGGUAAUACGUAGGUGGCAAGCGUUAUCCGGAUUUACUGGGUGUAAAGGGCGUGUAGGCGGUUCUGCAAGUCAGAUGUGAAAUUCCCGGGCUUAACCCGGGCGCUGCAUCUGAAACUGCAGAACUUGAGUACUGGAGAGGAUAGUGGAAUUCCUAGUGUAGCGGUAAAAUGCGUAGAUAUUAGGAGGAACACCAGUGGCGAAGGCGGCUAUCUGGACAGUAACUGACGCUGAGGCGCGAAAGCGUGGGGAGCAAACAGGAUUAGAAACCCCAGUAGUCC
This 428-nucleotide ribosomal RNA is filed under the name uncultured bacterium. RNAcentral's name for it is "partial 16S ribosomal RNA". It matches the Rfam family "Bacterial small subunit ribosomal RNA", at positions 354 to 796 of the family's 1533-position model. The record is from RNAcentral.